ACCUGGCUGGUUCAGUUGGUAGAACAUGUGACUCUCAAUCUCAGGGUCAUGAGUUCAAGUCCCACACUGGGCA
This 73-nucleotide transfer RNA is filed under the name Ailuropoda melanoleuca (giant panda). It matches the Rfam family "tRNA". From Rfam's summary of the family: Transfer RNA (tRNA) molecules are approximately 80 nucleotides in length. Lineage: Eukaryota; Metazoa; Chordata; Mammalia; Carnivora; Ursidae. The record is from Rfam by way of RNAcentral.